GGGGGCGACAGGCUUCGACAGGGGCUUGUAUAGAUCUUUGAAUGCACGUCGGGCUUGUAAGGUUAGCUCGUUAAAAAAACUUUGCAAAAACAAAUGCUAAUCAAGAAUUAGCCCUUGCUGCCUAAUUAACUUUAGCUCCAGCAAUGUCAACGGGGAAGUCCGCCUGAUGCGACCCUACUUGGCAUAACUCAGUUCAGGCUCGGGCCCGUUCACCACCUGCGAACGGGGCUUAAAGUCAGUCAGGUUAGCCUUUGGAGAGGUCUUGUCGGUUCAUCUGCUCUUCUAAGGCGAAACAUAAGUGAACUCGACUAAACGUGUAGAUUUCACUGGUCGCAACCUUUGGAUGCGGGUUCGAUUCCCGCCGCCUCCACCA
Molecule: transfer-messenger RNA, 373 nt
Filed under: Pyrinomonadaceae
Lineage: Bacteria; Pseudomonadati; Acidobacteriota; Blastocatellia; Blastocatellales
Also listed under: 1 other name
Description: OLB17 sp017983495 Standard tmRNA
Rfam family: transfer-messenger RNA
About the family: Bacterial tmRNA, also known as 10Sa RNA or SsrA, is named for its dual tRNA and mRNA-like properties. Its role is to liberate the mRNA from a stalled ribosome. To accomplish this part of the tmRNA is used as a reading frame that ends in a translation stop signal.
Source: RNAcentral